Molecule: ribosomal RNA, 394 nt
Filed under: uncultured bacterium
Lineage: Bacteria
Description: bacterial SSU rRNA
Rfam family: Bacterial small subunit ribosomal RNA
Source: RNAcentral
AAUGGGCGGAAGCCUGAUGCAGCGACGCCGCGUGAGGGAUGACGGCCUUCGGGUUGUAAACCUCUUUCGCCAGGGACGAAGCCGCUUGCGGUGACGGUACUUGGAGAAGAAGCACCGGCCAACUACGUGCCAGCAGCCGCGGUAAUACGUAGGGUGCGAGCGUUGUCCGGAAUUACUGGGCGUAAAGAGCUCGUAGGCGGUUUGUCGCGUCGUCUGUGAAAUUCUGCAGCUUAACUGCAGGCGUGCAGGCGAUACGGGCAGACUUGAGUACUACAGGGGAGACUGGAAUUCCUGGUGUAGCGGUGAAAUGCGCAGAUAUCAGGAGGAACACCGGUGGCGAAGGCGGGUCUCUGGGUAGUAACUGACGCUGAGGAGCGAAAGCGUGGGGAGCGAA